Molecule: ribosomal RNA, 253 nt
Filed under: uncultured bacterium
Lineage: Bacteria
Description: partial 16S ribosomal RNA
Rfam family: Bacterial small subunit ribosomal RNA
Source: RNAcentral
UACGUAGGGUGCAAGCGUUAAUCGGAAUUACUGGGCGUAAAGCGUGCGCAGGCGGCUAUGCAAGACAGAUGUGAAAUCCCCGGGCUUAACCUGGGAACUGCAUUUGUGACUGGCGGGCUAGAGUAUGGCAGAGGGGGGUAGAAUUCCACGUGUAGCAGUGAAAUGCGUAGAGAUGUGGAGGAAUACCGAUGGCGAAGGCAGCCCCCUGGGCCAAUACUGACGCUCAUGCACGAAAGCGUGGGGAGCAAACAGG